Molecule: ribosomal RNA, 253 nt
Filed under: uncultured bacterium
Lineage: Bacteria
Description: partial 16S ribosomal RNA
Rfam family: Bacterial small subunit ribosomal RNA
Source: RNAcentral
UACGAGUGCCCCAAGCGUUAUCCGGAAUCAUUGGGCGUAAAGGGUGUGUAGGCGGUUGUGUUAGUCUUUUGUUAAAGCUCUCGGCUUAACCGGGAAGGUGCAAAAGAAACGGCACAACUAGAGGAUGCGAGAGGUGAAUGGAACUCAUAGUGUAGGGGUGAAAUCCGUUGAUAUUAUGGGGAACACCAAAAGCGAAGGCAAUUCACUGGCGCAUUCCUGACGCUGAGACACGAAAGCGUGGGUAGCGAAUGGG